UAAGGAAUAUUGGACAAUGGUCGCAAGACUGAUCCAGCCAUGCCGCGUGCAGGAAGACGGCCCUAUGGGUUGUAAACUGCUUUUGUACCAGAGAAAACCUAUCUACGUGUAGAUAGCUGAUAGUAUGGUAAGAAUAAGCAUCGGCUAACUUCGUGCCAGCAGCCGCGGUAAGACGAAGGAUGCAAGCGUUAUCCGGAUUCAUUGGGUUUAAAGGGUGCGUAGGCGGGCUUGUAAGUCAGUGGUGAAAUCUCUCAGCUUAACUGAGAAACUGCCAUUGAUACUGCAGGCCUAGAGUAUAGAUGACGUUGGCGGAAUAUGACAUGUAGUGGUGAAAUACUUAGAUAUGUCAUAGAACACCGAUCGCGAAGGCAGCUAACGAAACUAUAACUGACGCUGAGGCACGAAAGUGCGGGGA
Molecule: ribosomal RNA, 415 nt
Filed under: uncultured bacterium
Lineage: Bacteria
Description: bacterial SSU rRNA
Rfam family: Bacterial small subunit ribosomal RNA
Source: RNAcentral